UUAGAGUUUGAUCAUGGCUCAGUGACGAACGCUGGCGGCGCGCCUAACACAUGCAAGUCGAACGAGGUCUUUUAGGAGCUUGCUUUUGGAAGACCGAGUGGCGGACGGGUGAGUAACACGUGAGCAACCUGCCUCGGAGUGGGGGAUAACGUUCGGAAACGAACGCUAAUACCGCAUAACGUAGCGAGAUGGCAUCAUCUUGCUACCAAAGGAGUAAUCCGCUUUGAGAUGGGCUCGCGCCCGAUUAGAUAGUUGGUGAGGUAAUGGCUCACCAAGUCUGCGAUCGGUAGCCGGACUGAGAGGUUGAUCGGCCACAUUGGGACUGAGACACGGCCCAGACUCCUACGGGAGGCAGCAGUGGGGAAUAUUGGGCAAUGGGGGAAACCCUGACCCAGCGACGCCGCGUGAGUGAAGACGGCCUUCGGGUUGUAAAGCUCUGUUUCGGGGGACGAUAAUGACGGUACCCCGGGAGGAAGCCACGGCUAACUACGUGCCAGCAGCCGCGGUAAUACGUAGGUGGCAAGCGUUGUCCGGAAUUACUGGGUGUAAAGGGAGCGUA
Molecule: ribosomal RNA, 559 nt
Filed under: uncultured Clostridiaceae bacterium
Lineage: Bacteria; Bacillati; Bacillota; Clostridia; Eubacteriales; Clostridiaceae
Description: bacterial SSU rRNA
Rfam family: Bacterial small subunit ribosomal RNA
Source: RNAcentral